RNAcentral lists this long non-coding RNA (3330 nucleotides) under Sus scrofa (pig). RNAcentral's name for it is "lncRNA (ENSSSCG00025056781.1)". The record is from RNAcentral. Lineage: Eukaryota; Metazoa; Chordata; Mammalia; Artiodactyla; Suidae.
UUUUUUUUUUUUUUUUUUUUUUUGCUUUUGUCUUUUUAGGGCCGCAUCUACAGCAUAUGGAGGUUCCCAGGUUAGGGGUUGAGUCGGAGCUUUAGCUGCCAGCCUAUGCCACAGCCACAGUAACACUGGAUACAAGCUGCGUCUGCAACCUAUACCACAGCUCAUGGUAAUGCCAAACUCUUAACCCACUGAGCAAGGCCAGGGAUCAAACCUGUGUCCUCAUGGAUACUAGUUGGGUUCGUUAACCACUGAGCCAUGAUAAGAACUCUGGAAGGUCAAUCUUAAUUUUGGAAGUUCUGCUUAUUAUUAUACAUCACCAUCCUCAGAAAACUUUAGUUCUAUGCAGAGUUAUGUAAAUGUGCUUAAAAUUCAUCCAGGCGCUAUCUUUAACCUGACUUUGUGGUAACUGGGUAUCAGUCAAAAGGAAUGCAAAGUGACAAGAGGGUGGAUUGCCACUUAAAAAGGACAUUUCUGAACAAAUGGGGCUUAAUCAAACUUAGAAGCUUCUGCAUACCAAAGUAAACUAAACAAAACAAAAAGACAAAUGACAGAAUGGAAAAUAUUUGCAAACAAUGUGACUGACAAGGGCUUAAUUUUCAAAAUAUACAAACAGUUCAGACAACUCAAUAAUGACAAUACUCACCCCUCCAAACGACCCAAUCAAGAAAUGAGCAGAAGACCUAAAUAGAUAUUUCUCCAAAGAAGACACACAGAUGGCCAAUAGGUGCAAGAAAAGAUGCUCAGCAUCACUAAUUAUUGGAGAAAUGCAAAUCAAAACUACAGUGAGGUAUCACUUCAUACUGGUCAGAGUGGCCAUCAUUAAUAAGUCUAUAAAGGACAAAUGCUGAAAAGGGUGUGGAGAAAAAGGACCCCUCCUACACUGUUGGUGGGAAUGCAAACUGGUACAACCACUAUGGAAAAUAGUAUGGGGGUUCCUCAGAAAACUAAAUAUAGAACUACAAUAUGAUCCAGAAAUCCCAUUCCUGGGCAUAUAUCCAGACAAAAGUUUCAUUCAAAAAGAUACAUGCACUCCUAAGUUCACAGCAGCACUAUUCACAAUAACCAAUACAUGCAAACAACCUAAAUGUCCAUCAAAAGAUGAAUGGAUUAACAAGAUGUAUUACAUAUAUACAAUGGAAUACUACUAAACUGUAAAAAGAAUGAAAUAAUGCCAUAUGCAGCAACAAGAAUGGACCUAGAGAUUAUCAUACUAAGUGAAGUAAGUCACAAAGAGAAAGACAAAUACACUAUGAUAUCUCCUAUAUGUAGAAUCUAAAAUAUGGCACAAAUGAACCUAUCUAUAGAACAGACUCACAGACAUGGAGAACAGACUUAUGGUUGCCAAGGCAGAAGGGGGAGGGAGGGAGAUGGACUGGGAGUUUGGGGUUAGUAGCUGCAAACUAUUACAUUUAGAAAAUGGAUUAAAAAGGUCCUAUUACAUAGUACAGGGAACUAGAUCCAAUCUCCUGAGACAGACCAUGAUGGAAAAGAAUAUUAAAAAAAAGAAGGUAUAUAUGUAUGACUGAGUCAUUUUGCUGUACAGCAAAAAUUGGUACAACAUUGUAAAUCAACUAUACUUUAAUAAAAAAAUUAAAAAUUAAGAAAAGAUAGCAACACCAAAACAAAGAAACAACCCAAUAAAGAAAUAAAAUAGACAUUUCUCUAAAGAAGACUUACAGAUGGCAAAUAGGCACAUGAAAAAAUGCUCAGCAUCGCUAAUUACUGGAGAAAUGCAAAUGAGAACUACAAUGACGUACUACCUCACACAAGUCAGAACAGCCCUCAUUAAGAAGUCUACAUAUAAUAAAUGCUGGAGAGGGCGUGGAGAAAAGGGAACCUUCUUCCACUGUUGGUGGUUAUGCAAACUGGUAUAGCCACUAUGGAAAACAGUAUGGAGGGUCCCUAAAAAACUGAAAAUAGAGUUGCCAUAGGAUCCAGCAAUCUCACUCCCAGGUAUAUAUCUAGAGAAAAACAUAAUUUGAAAAGAAGCAUGUAUCCCAAUGUUCACAGCAGCACUACUUACAAUAGCCAAGACAUGAGAGCAACCAAGUCCAUCAACAAAUGAAGGAUAAAGAACAUGUGGUAUGUAUAUACAAUAGAACAGUACUCAGCCAUUAAAAAGAAUAAAAUAAUGCCAUUUGCAGCAACAAGGAUGGAUCUAGAGAUUGUCACACUAAGUGAGGUAAGUGAGAAAGAGAAAGACAAACACCAUGCGAUAUUAUUUAUAUGUAGAAUCUAAAAUAUGACAAAUGAACUUAUUAAUACAGAACAGAAACAGACUCACAGACACAGAGAACAGACUUGUGGCUGCCAAGUGGAGGUUGGGUGAUGGGUGGGUUGUGAGUUUGGGAUCAGCAAAUGCAAACUAUUAUAUAUAUAUAUAUAUCUAUCUAUAUCCGAAUCACUAUGUUGUACAACAGAAACUACCACAUUGUAGGAGUUGCUGCAGUGGCAAAGUGGGUUAAGGAUCUGGUGUUGCCGCAGCUGUGGUGUAGGUUGCAGAUGUGGCUUGGAUUUGAUCCGUGGCCUGGAAACUUCCAUAUAUUUCAGGUGUGGCUGAAAAAGGGAAAAAAAAAAAAAAAAAAAAAAAAGAAAAGAAACUAACACAUUGUAAAUCAACUAUACCUCAAUAAAAUAAAUUUAAAAAACAUUUCUGAGAAGAAACGUAGCUUAUUAGAAUUAUAUUUCAUCUUAAAAUGAAAAAACAGGAAAGUGAAAUAUGGGGAAAAUCUCUAAAUUUUGACUAUCUUAUACCUAAAGAAAAAAUGAUUUUUUUUGGUCUUUUUGCCUUUUCUAGGGCCACUCCCGAGGCAUAUGGAGGUUCCCAGGUAUUUGAUUUUUUGGGGUACAAUUUUAAAAGGUAUUGUCCAAGACACCAUCAAACUCCUGGAAGAUAACAGGCAAAACAUUCUCUGACAUCAACCUUACAAAUGUUUUCUCAGGUCAAUCUCCCCAAACAACAGAAAUAAAAGCAAAAAAUAAACCAAUGGGACCUAAUCAAACUGACAAGCUUUCACACAGCAAAGGAAACCAAAAAGAAAAGAAAAAGAAAACUUACGGAAGUACCAUCAUGGCACAGUGGAAACGAAUCUGACUAGGAACCACGAGGUUGCAGGUUCAAUCCCUGGCCUCGCUUGGUGGGUUAAGGAUACGGCAUUGCCGUGAGCUGUGGUGUAGGUUGCAGAUGUGGCUUGGAUCUGGCAUUGCUGUGGCUGUGGCGUAGGCCAGCAGCUACAGCUCCGAUUAGACUCCUAGCCUGGGAACCUCCAUAUGCCAUGGGUGUGGCUCUAAAAAGACAAAAGACAAAAAAAAAAAAAAAAGAAAAAAAAA